UACGAAGGGAGCUAGCGUUGUUCGGAAUCACUGGGCGUAAAGCGCACGUAGGCGGAUUUGUCAGUCGGGGGUGAAAUCCCGAGGCUCAACCUCGGAACUGCCUCCGAUACAGCAAAUCUCGAGUCCGGGAGAGGUGGGUGGAAUUCCUAGUGUAGAGGUGAAAUUCGUAGAUAUUAGGAAGAACACCAGUGGCGAAGGCGGCCCACGGGCCCGGUACUGACGAUGAGGUGCGAAAGCGUGGGGAGCAAACAGG
RNAcentral lists this ribosomal RNA (253 nucleotides) under uncultured bacterium. Its description in RNAcentral is "partial 16S ribosomal RNA". It matches the Rfam family "Bacterial small subunit ribosomal RNA", at positions 524 to 776 of the family's 1533-position model. The record is from RNAcentral.